AGGGUGUAAACGCUGCAGACUUGGUGUUGGGAACCCUUCGGGGGUGCUCAGUGCCGGAGAGAAGUUGUUAAGUCUGCUACUUGGGGAGUACGUCCGCAAGGAUGAAACUUAAAGGAAUUGGCGGGGGAGCACCGCAACGGGAGGAGCGUGCGGUUUAAUUGGAUUCAACGCCGAAAAACUCACCAGCAGCGACUGUUACAUGAAAGCCGAGAUGAAGACUCUGCUAGAUUUUUCAGAGAGGUGGUGCAUGGCGUCAGUGACU
RNAcentral lists this ribosomal RNA (262 nucleotides) under uncultured archaeon. RNAcentral describes it as "partial 16S ribosomal RNA". It matches the Rfam family "Archaeal small subunit ribosomal RNA", at positions 748 to 1008 of the family's 1478-position model. The record is from RNAcentral.